Molecule: ribosomal RNA, 253 nt
Filed under: uncultured bacterium
Lineage: Bacteria
Description: partial 16S ribosomal RNA
Rfam family: Bacterial small subunit ribosomal RNA
Source: RNAcentral
GACGUAGGGCGCGAGCGUUGUCCGGAUUUAUUGGGCGUAAAGAGCUCGUAGGCGGCUCAUUGCGUCAACCGUGAAAACCAGCAGCUCAACUGUUGGCUUGCGGUUGAUACGGGUGGGCUGGAGUUCGGUAGGGGAGACUGGAAUUCCUGGUGUAGCGGUGAAAUGCGCAGAUAUCAGGAGGAACACCGGUGGCGAAGGCGGGUCUCUGGGCCGAUACUGACGCUGAGGAGCGAAAGCGUGGGUAGCGAACAGG